RNAcentral lists this long non-coding RNA (1773 nucleotides) under Centruroides sculpturatus (bark scorpion). RNAcentral describes it as "uncharacterized LOC111623023, transcript variant X1". Lineage: Eukaryota; Metazoa; Arthropoda; Arachnida; Scorpiones; Buthidae. The record is from RNAcentral.
UAAAUUAAUAAAAAAAAUAAAAUUGAUUUUUUUUUAAUUCCAAUUUUUACGUAAUUCGAAGAUCGUUGACGCGUCUUUUAACGUUUGUUCGAAAUACGUCACAUGACGAUUCGCAGUUCGAUUGCGUUUCUGGUUCUGGUUGGACGUGCUUUUCUUGCGCUCGUAAUUUAUGUGCUGUUUUUCGCUGUUUGCGGACUUUUCGGUAGAAGAUUAAAGAUUUUUCAGGUAAGUCUUAGUCCAUAUUGACCCUAGACGUAAGAAUUUGUUUAAUAUUACUUAGAGAAUCGCUCCCAGAAGACAUCUCGGCACAUCGUUCGAUGGUCGGCCGUUUUCGUUUUGAAUCUUUUACAUUUAAAAAGGCAGCUGCGAAUGAAGAUGUUUGCGUGGUUUCGCCGGAGGUUCCGACAGAAGAAUGCCGGAGGGAGGGGGUUUCUCGGACGGCUCCGAUGAGACGUUCGAGGACCGUGAGCUCAACUGAGUCUCUGUCGAAUCGAUUAGUUCGGUGUCGUUUGAGGCCGUCGAGCAUGAGGCAGCGGGUGGUGACGACCUUCCUCCAGUGCGUGUGGCGUGGGACUCUCCCAGAGGCGGGAGAGUUCUGAGUCCAUUCCACUUGGCUAAGGUCGUCAGGGAUCAGCCGGCCUAUGUCCUUGUUAAGUAAGGCAUAGGGAGUACCGAGUCCUCUUGGAGUUCGUCUAUUUUCACGAGAUCUGCCUCUCGGUCUGUGCUCGCGAGUACGUCGCCAUCGUCUUUCGGAAGUCGGAACGGGGAAGAUUCGGAGGAGAGCACCGCCGAAAUCGAGGAACUGCGGCUUUGUUGCUGUGGGUGGCUGUGGUUCUCUUGGCCUAGGCAGUGAUCCUUUUCGAUUUUCCCUAAUUCGUCCUUUGCACCCGGAUGCGACAUUCUGACCGGAUUCGACACUUUUCAUCCGGACAUGAUCUCUUUACUCGGACUUGGCCUUCUCUUACCCGGAUGUUCUCAUGGACUUGUCUCCCAAACGUGACACUCGAUGACAACAAUGGAUUUGACUUCCGAUUGUGACCACCCGGACGCGACAUUCGGCCUACCUUUCUUCCCAAGCAGCUGUUAUGAGGAUUGAGCUUCCGGUUACGGUAAGUUAGGCUAGGCUAGGUCAGGUCAGGUCCUUCGCUCUUCUCAUAACACUGUUCGGGAAGAAAGACUGUCUGAUAAAGGAACAUUUGGGAGGGAGAAGAAUCUCCCUCCCCAACUUUACCGCGAAGAGGAUGAAAUGGCCAUUUAUCGUGCAAGUGAAUAUUUUCCGAAAUCUUCGAUGGUAAGAACUCUUUCGUUUCAUUUUUUAACACGUCUUAUUCUCGUAUCGUAAUUGACUGUUUUUCUGUUUAUGAACAUGCCGAAGAUGUUCUUCGAUCACACAUGCACGAACAUAACAUCACUGUACACGAAGAUAUACACCGUUUAACCUUUACUUGAAUUCUUGCACACACGCACUUACACUUCAAGUGCUUUGUUCCGUGUAAUUCGACACAAUGAAACAACCCGAACACGCGCUUCCCACAAAUCCAACCCCUGGGUCCUCGUCCCGGGGAGUGGAAACGCCAAUUUUAAAGAUUAAAAGACUUUAAAUUGGCAGCCAAAGGGGCUCUGGUAAUUACAAUUUGCACUCAUUACACAGAAUUUCAGGUACAGUAAAACCUGUCUAUGGCGACCACCCACAGUUCUUUUAAAAAGUGGUCUUUUAGACAGGUGGUCGUCCAAUACAGGUGGUCCUGUAAUAACGUAUUUCCGUACGUAUUU